This 253-nucleotide ribosomal RNA is filed under the name uncultured bacterium. Its description in RNAcentral is "partial 16S ribosomal RNA". It matches the Rfam family "Bacterial small subunit ribosomal RNA", at positions 524 to 776 of the family's 1533-position model. The record is from RNAcentral.
UACGGAGGAUGCAAGCGUUAUCCGGAAUGAUUGGGCGUAAAGCGUCCGCAGGUGGCUGUGUAAGUCUGCUGUUAAAUAGUGAGGCUCAACCUCAUAAAGGCAGUGGAAACUACACGGCUAGAGUGCGUUCGGGGCAGAGGGAAUUCCUGGUGUAGCGGUGAAAUGCGUAGAGAUCAGGAAGAACACCGGUGGCGGAAGCGCUCUGCUAGGCCGCAACUGACACUGAGGGACGAAAGCUAGGGGAGCGAAUGGG